UGGGGAAUAUUGCACAAUGGGCGCAAGCCUGAUGCAGCCAUGCCGCGUGUAUGUAGAAGGCCUUCGGGUUGUAAAGUACUUUCAGCGGGGAGGAAGGGAGUAAAGUUAAUACCUUUGCUCAUUGACGUUACCCGCAGAAGAAGCACCGGCUAACUCCGUGCCAGCAGCCGCGGUAAUACGGAGGGUGCAAGCGUUAAUCGGAAUUACUGGGCGUAAAGCGCACGCAGGCGGUUUGUUAAGUCAGAUGUGAAAUCCCCGGGCUCAACCUGGGAACUGCAUCUGAUACUGGCAAGCUUGAGUCUCGUAGAGGGGGGUAGAAGUCCAGGUGUAGCGGUGAAAUGCGUAGAGAUCUGGAGGAAUACCGGUGGCGAAGGCGGCCCCCUGGACGAAGACUGACGCUCAGGUGCGAAAGCGUGGGGAGCAAACAGG
Molecule: ribosomal RNA, 429 nt
Filed under: Chloroflexota bacterium
Lineage: Bacteria; Bacillati; Chloroflexota
Description: Chloroflexi bacterium partial 16S ribosomal RNA
Rfam family: Bacterial small subunit ribosomal RNA
Source: RNAcentral